Molecule: long non-coding RNA, 403 nt
Organism: Bombus pyrosoma
Lineage: Eukaryota; Metazoa; Arthropoda; Insecta; Hymenoptera; Apidae
Exons: 3
Source: RefSeq, a predicted model, not a curated record
GCACGUUUCAGAAAAUUUAGAACACGAGGUGCCACCACGAGUUUUCAAGACUCGACAUGGAUAAAUUCCCAGCGGUAAUUCAUUUAACAAUGAUAAUUAUGAGAUGACUUCGAUCAAAUAAAUGAUCACUGACUUCGUACAAAGCAUCUUUUGGCCAUCUCCAGAACCAGUUCAUGGUGCAACCGGAUAUAAGACCAGGGAAUUUCAAUGCUCGUGAUCUGAACUUCUCACCAACCUGCAAUUCAUAUACGAAUACACUUUUUAUCAAACACACAAAUGAUUAAAUCACUCACUGGUGAAAAACACAAGGUCACAUGUAACUGAUCUCUCGCACGUGACAGGAAAUAAUCGUAAAGAUUAUCCGGAGUGGGUGGUCGCCUUGGAUCAUCCUUCUUCAUCAUAG